This 206-nucleotide ribosomal RNA is filed under the name uncultured bacterium. Its description in RNAcentral is "partial 16S ribosomal RNA". It matches the Rfam family "Bacterial small subunit ribosomal RNA", at positions 524 to 727 of the family's 1533-position model. The record is from RNAcentral.
GACGAGGGGUCCAAGCGUUGUUCGGAAUCAUUGGGCGUAAAGCGGGUGUAGGCGGCCUUAUAAGUCAGAAGUGAAAGCCCCGGGCUUAACUCGGGAAGUGCUUUUGAUACUGCAAGGCUUGAAUGUGGGAGAGGAUGGUGGAAUUCCUGGUGGUAGUGGUGAAAUACGUAGAGUAUCAAGGAGGAACAUCGGUGCGAAGGCGGCCA